UAGGGAAUCUUCCGCAAUGGACGCAAGUCUGACGGAGCAACGCCGCGUGAGUGAAGAAGGAUUUCGGUUCGUAAAACUCUGUUGUUAGAGAAGAACAGCGCAUAGAGUAACUGUUAUGCGUGUGACGGUAUCUAACCAGAAAGCCACGGCUAACUACGUGCCAGCAGCCGCGGUAAUACGUAGGUGGCAAGCGUUAUCCGGAAUUAUUGGGCGUAAAGCGCGCGUAGGCGGUUUUUUAAGUCUGAUGUGAAAGCCCACGGCUCAACCGUGGAGGGUCAUUAGAAACUGGAAAACUUGAGUGCAGAAGAGGAAAGUGGAAUUCCAUGUGUAGCGGUGAAAUGCGCAGAGAUAUGGAGGAACACCAGUGGCGAAGGCGACUUUCUGGUCUGUAACUAACGAUGAUGUGCGAAAGCGUGGGGAUCAAACAGG
RNAcentral lists this ribosomal RNA (429 nucleotides) under Bacteroidota bacterium. RNAcentral's name for it is "Bacteroidetes bacterium partial 16S ribosomal RNA". It matches the Rfam family "Bacterial small subunit ribosomal RNA", at positions 355 to 776 of the family's 1533-position model. The record is from RNAcentral. Lineage: Bacteria; Pseudomonadati; Bacteroidota.